AUUGAACGCUGGCGGCAGGCCUAACACAUGCAAGUCGAACGGUAACAGGAAGAAGCUUGCUUCUUUGCUGACGAGUGGCGGACGGGUGAGUAAUGUCUGGGAAACUGUCUGAUGGAGGGGGAUAACUACUGGAAACGGUAGCUAAUACCGCAUAACGUCGCAAGACCAAAGAGGGGGACCUUCGGGCCUCUUGCCAUCGGAUGUGCCCAGAUGGGAUUAGCUAGUAGGUGGGGUAACGGCUCACCUAGGCGACGAUCCCUAGCUGGUCUGAGAGGAUGACCAGCCACACUGGAACUGAGACACGGUCCAGACUCCUACGGGAGGCAGCAGUGGGGAAUAUUGCACAAUGGGCGCAAGCCUGAUGCAGCCAUGCCGCGUGUAUGAAGAAGGCCUUCGGGUUGUAAAGUACUUUCAGCGGGGAGGAAGGGAGUAAAGUUAAUACCUUUGCUCAUUGACGUUACCCGCAGAAGAAGCACCGGCUAACUCCGUG
Molecule: ribosomal RNA, 490 nt
Filed under: uncultured bacterium
Lineage: Bacteria
Description: partial 16S ribosomal RNA
Rfam family: Bacterial small subunit ribosomal RNA
Source: RNAcentral